Molecule: ribosomal RNA, 533 nt
Filed under: Episesarma singaporense
Lineage: Eukaryota; Metazoa; Arthropoda; Malacostraca; Decapoda; Sesarmidae
Description: partial large subunit ribosomal RNA
Rfam family: Archaeal large subunit ribosomal RNA (bases 409-533)
Source: RNAcentral
GUCUGUUUGAAGGUAUAAAAAGUCUAGCCUGCCCACUGAUAAUAAAAUUUUUAAGGGCCGCGGUAUUUCUGACUGUGCAAAGGUAGCAUAAUCGUUAGUUUCUUAAUUGGAAUCUUGUAUGAAUGGUUUGACAAGAAAAAGCCUGUCUUUAUAAUUAAUAAUUGAAUUUAACUUUUAAGUGAAAAGGCUUAAAUAAAUUAAAAAGACGAUAAGACCCUAUAAAACUUAAUAUAAAUUGAUUAUUUGAGUAAAAUUUUAUUGUAUAAAUAUUUAAUAAUUAAUUUAUAUUUUAUUGGGGUGAUAAUGGUAAAAUGAUUAUUAACUGUUAAUUAUUUUAUGACAAAAAUUAUUGAAUAAAUGUGUAAUAAAUGAUCCUUAUUAAAGAUUAAAAGUUUAAGUUACUUUAGGGAUAACAGCGUUAUUUUUUUUGAGAGUUCUUAUCGAGAAAAAAGUUUGCGACCUCGAUGUUGAAUUAAAAUAUCUAUAUAAUUGUAGCAGUUAUAUGAGAAGGUCUGUUCGACCUUUAAAUUUUU